RNAcentral lists this long non-coding RNA (445 nucleotides) under Homo sapiens (human). RNAcentral's name for it is "HSALNT0321486". The record is from RNAcentral. Lineage: Eukaryota; Metazoa; Chordata; Mammalia; Primates; Hominidae.
UUACUUGGGUGAAUGGCUCGCUUAUAAAAACAGCUUACUUAUAAAGGCUUUGGUUCAAGACCUUUCUUUCAAUUGCAUCAGCCAUUCCUAAACUAUUAUGUCACACAGUACUUUGCCCUGUUUCAAACGGUUCUCCACCUUGACCUUGCCUUUAACCAAUUGAUCGCAGACUCUGAAACCCUGUAAAUAUCCCACUUCUGACUUCUCCCUUCUGAGACACUGCUAAGCCUCCAUCAAGAUGGCAUUUUCUCUUACUGCAGGGAAAGCACAAACAAAAUCCCCCACUACCACAAAUUAUGCAGUUGAGUUUCCCACAUUUGGUGAAAUCACAGGUGUCAGCACAUCCAGAGUGCAAUGGAUAAGACUUGCCAUGGGAAAACCAUCUAUGUGAUCAUGGUAUCUCCCCUGCCAGAUGGAAUCUUGCUCUGUUGCCCAGGCUGGAGUG